Molecule: ribosomal RNA, 253 nt
Filed under: uncultured bacterium
Lineage: Bacteria
Description: partial 16S ribosomal RNA
Rfam family: Bacterial small subunit ribosomal RNA
Source: RNAcentral
UACGUAGGGCGCAAGCGUUGUCCGGAAUUAUUGGGCGUAAAGAGCUCGUAGGCGGUCUGUCACGUCGGAUGUGAAAACUCGGGGCUCAACCCCGAGCCUGCAUUCGAUACGGGCAGACUUGAGUUCGGCAGGGGAGACUGGAAUUCCUGGUGUAGCGGUGAAAUGCGCAGAUAUCAGGAGGAACACCGGUGGCGAAGGCGGGUCUCUGGGCCGAUACUGACGCUGAGGAGCGAAAGCGUGGGGAGCGAACAGG